This is a long non-coding RNA of Myxocyprinus asiaticus (Chinese sucker), 227 nucleotides long. RefSeq lists it as uncharacterized. The record is from RefSeq and is a predicted model, not a curated record. The transcript has 4 exons. NCBI's taxonomy places the organism in Eukaryota, Metazoa, Chordata, Actinopteri, Cypriniformes, Catostomidae.
UUUUCACUGGCAGAGAGGAAAUACACAAACUAACUGCCCAAUUUUUGGUUGAAAUAUUUGGUGUCAUUCAAUCCGAACCUCCAAAAACCUUGAGGAUUCACAGUUCAGCAGCACUUAUUUUCAUCUUGGAAAUGAAAACGAGCCACAGACUGAAAAGUGAUUUCUCAGCUGUUACCAUGGAAACCACUGAAGCCACCAUGCCUCUAACUAAAGGUGUGACAUAAGAA